This 292-nucleotide ribosomal RNA is filed under the name uncultured bacterium. RNAcentral describes it as "partial 16S ribosomal RNA". It matches the Rfam family "Bacterial small subunit ribosomal RNA", at positions 505 to 796 of the family's 1533-position model. The record is from RNAcentral.
GUGUCAGCCGCCGCGGUAAAACGUAGGAGCCAAGCGUUAUCCGAAUUUACUGGGCGUAAAGCGCGUGCAGGCGGUUGGGUAAGUUGGCUGUGAAAUCUCCCGGCUCAACUGGGAGGGGACGGUCAAGACUGCCCGACUGGAGGCAGGUAGAGGGAGGUGGAAUUCCCGGUGUAGUGGUGAAAUGCGUAGAUAUCGGGAGGAACACCAGUGGCGAAGGCGGCCUCCUGGACCUGACCUGACGCUCAGACGCGAAAGCUAGGGGAGCAAACGGGAUUAGAAACCCUGGUAGUCC